This 106-nucleotide small RNA is filed under the name Arabidopsis thaliana (thale cress). RNAcentral describes it as "ATSL067220". The record is from RNAcentral. Lineage: Eukaryota; Viridiplantae; Streptophyta; Magnoliopsida; Brassicales; Brassicaceae.
AAUAUAAAAGGGACAAAAGAACAAGAGGGCGAUAAAUCAAACACGGAAGGUUCGAAGAAAAAAAAGAUACCAAUCACCAAAACGUGAGAAAGUCGAAAGAUGAGGA